RNAcentral lists this ribosomal RNA (1278 nucleotides) under Triticum aestivum (bread wheat). RNAcentral describes it as "partial small subunit ribosomal RNA". Lineage: Eukaryota; Viridiplantae; Streptophyta; Magnoliopsida; Poales; Poaceae. The record is from RNAcentral.
AUGUCGAUGCCGCGCCGGGCGGCAGAGGUCGCCGUGGCGGAGGCGGAUGCCCUGAUCUCGCUGCCGACGGGCGUCCUCGACGACAUCCUCGACCGCGUCGGCCUCCUGGACGCCGUCCGCACGUCGGCGCUCUCCCGCGCCUGGCGACGCCGGUGGGAGGACCUCCCGUCCAUCGACUUCUACUUCCCCCGCCCCGACGAGGCCAAGCACCUGAGGUCCGUCGACAGCGUGCUCCUCCGCUGCCCCGGCCGCGUCCGGCGCUUCUGGGCGCACCUCGACGAACCCUCCGAGGCGCGCAUCCACGACUGGCUCCUCGUCCUCUCCCGCCGGGGCGUCGACACCCUCAACCUCAGGCCCAUCCCCUUCGACGCCGUCCUCGCGCUCCCCGCCUCCGUCUUCGCCUGCCGCCGGCUCACCAACCUCCGCCUCCACGCCUGCGCCAUCCCGCCCCUGCCCGCGGGCUUCGAGGGGUUCCCGGAGCUGAGGAAACUUGCUCUCACCUGCGUCCGGUUCCGGGAGAACGGGGAGUACCAACUGGAGGAGAUCAUCGCCACGUCGCCCUCGCUUGAGAAGCUGGUGUUCUGGGAGGUAAAAAUCGUGGGCGACUUCAAGGAGUGGGUGAUUCAGGGGCCCAAUAUCCAGGAGAUACAGAUCAGUUCGUCCAAAGAUUUGGGCUGGAUCCUUGGGGAGCUUCCGUCCCUGCACUCUGCCAACAUUGAUAUACUGGACUAUUUAGGGGGCCGCGAUUUCGCCAAAUUCCUCGCCGGCUUUUCGAACAUUACGAGGCUUGUGAUUUGUACUCGUCAUUCACCGUUAAAUGGGGCUAUAAUACUAGAGAGGCUUCAAUGCAAAUUUGGCAACUUAAAGAGCUUGACACUAUAUACACAAUUUUGUGAGCUUCCCUCCAUUCUAUCAACCUAUUGCUUACUAAGGAAUGCCCCAAACCUUGAAAGACUCAAAAUACUGAUCGACAACAGUGCCGAGCAGAAAUUUGAGGCACAUGAAGAGUUUCAAAGUUCACAGUGGACCGGUGGCAUGUGUGCCAACCUUCAGUUCGUGCAGAUGACUGGUAUUCAUUGGCUUCCAAAUGAGAUGACUUUUAUAGAGCUUAUUCUCUCUAAAGCAAGGCUUUUUCGCACAUUAUUUAUUACUCAUGGUGAGAAUUGCUCAAUGUCGAAUGAGGAUGCAAUGAACAAGAUACUAAGUUACAGAAGAGCUUCGACUUGUGCCGAGAUUCUGUUUAAAGGGAAAGCCAGUGUCACAUUUUUUCGCAGCUGA